AUGAAACUAUUCAGAUCUUUUGGAUCAAUAAACACCUAAAAAUUCAAAGGUUGACAUGGACAAUGUAUCCAGGGUGCCAGAGGUUUGUGUUUGUACAAAGAGUUAUUUAGACAUCGAUGAAUAAACAUCAUAAAGUUUCUGUAGAGAAGGGAUAGUUGAGAAGACUUAGAGUAUUAACUCCAUUCAAGAAACGUAUGCAUUUCUAAAAGAAGCUGUGUGAAAAGAGUCUCACUUUAAGAAUAUUUUUUAAGUGCAAAUAGUUUCUACUUCCUGCCCCCUUCCUCCACCUUGUCUCACUCAUGAAUAUUUGUUUUGAUACCGGGUUUUCUUAAGGCAGAUUUACAUUUCUUUAACAUGUCAUUAGAGCUAUCUAGUUAGAAGCCACAGUAUGGUAGAAAGGAUACAACUCAGAAUUGAGACCCAGGUUCUAGGUCUGUUUGUUAUCUAGAACAGAUUUGGUUUUUGUCUGUGGAAAAAGUCAUUUAGAGUUUUUGUAUUUGUUUCCUCAAAUGCUGGAUGUGCCCUCUCUCCACAGAACCUGGUGAAGUGUUCUGAGAAGCAAAAAAGUACAAUGCGAAUUCCAGCCCUCCAGUUCUCGUAUCUCCUUUCCUCCAGGGAAGACACUCACCAGGAGAGGCAGGCGAGCGGCUGUGAGCGUUGAGACAGUGUUUGAUCUCCAGGAAGUCUCCUCUCAGCCUCCAGAGCCCAGUGUGGCGUCUGACCCAGGAAACCUAAGUGAAGGGGGAAAAGCUUGAAGCAUUGCCCUGGUUUUGGCACUCGGCUGAGGCCUCAGCAUUCUGCUCAACCUCACCAAGGUCUGCUCUUCAGAACUGAGAGCUGCACACAGAGGAAGUUGCUGAGCCACUGUGAUAAGGAAGCAUAAUGACAAGACUUACUUUCCUGGCAACUUGGAAAAAAGAAAGCUUUUUAACCUUGCAUAAGUACUUGUGUCAACUCCCAAUGUCCUGUACAUUAACUCAAGAAUCCUGACAGUCACUCCUAUUGUGUGAGGUGUAUUUGCAAAAGGGUUAGGAGCAAAGGUUCUGGAGUCACACUGCCUUCAGUCUAAUCCUCACGUCACAACUCACUAGUUUUGUGUCCUGAAACACAAGACUAAUCCAUUCUGAAACAUUUUCCUCACCUGAAACCCAGGAUAAUAUUGAUGCCCAUCUCCUAGGGCUGUUGGAAGGCUCAUUUACAAUCUUAGCACAAUGCCUGCCACGAAGUAAGUACUAGUUAAAUAAUUAUUGCUAUUGUUGUUUGGCCAAUAGUAAUUAUCUUGCACAAAAUCAAACACCAGUAAGAAGGUGGAAAUCCUAGUCUUCUGACUCCAAAUCCCAGGCUCUUUCUCUUACCAUACUUUACGCUACUGAAUGUUUAUUGCUUCGUUAAAUGAUUAAAAUACCACAGUACUGUUUGUGUUAUCCAUUGA
Bubalus bubalis (water buffalo) is the source of this 1432-nucleotide long non-coding RNA. RefSeq lists it as uncharacterized. NCBI's taxonomy places the organism in Eukaryota, Metazoa, Chordata, Mammalia, Artiodactyla, Bovidae. The transcript is spliced from 2 exons. The record is from RefSeq and is a predicted model, not a curated record.